AGUGAACGCUGGCGGCAGGCCUAACACAUGCAAGUCGAGCGGCAGCGCGGGGGCAACCCUGGCGGCGAGCGGCGGACGGGUGAGGAAUUCGUCGGAAUCUGCCUUUUUGUGGGGGAUAACGUAGGGAAACUUACGCUAAUACCGCAUACGUCCUACGGGAGAAAGUGGGGGACCGCAAGGCCUCACGCAGAAAGAUGAGCCGACGACCGAUUAGCUAGUUGGUGGGGUAAAGGCCCACCAGGGCGACGAUCGGUAGCUGGUCUGAGAGGAUGAUCAGCCACACUGGGACUGAGACACGGCCCAGACUCCUACGGGAGGCAGCAGUGGGGAAUAUUGGACAAUGGGCGCAAGCCUGAUCCAGCCAUGCCGCGUGUGUGAAGAAGGCCUUCGGGUUGUAAAGCACUUUUGUCCGGAAAGAAAUCCCUGGAGCUAAUACCUUCGGGGGAUGACGGUACCGGAAGAAUAAGCACCGGCUAACUUCGUG
RNAcentral lists this ribosomal RNA (484 nucleotides) under uncultured bacterium. RNAcentral describes it as "partial 16S ribosomal RNA". It matches the Rfam family "Bacterial small subunit ribosomal RNA", at positions 29 to 507 of the family's 1533-position model. The record is from RNAcentral.